GACAAAUAGAAAAUACAGAAGAGUUUUUCUUUUUUCUUUCUUUCUUUGUUUCUGAAGCGGCACUGCAAAAAAAAAGAGAAAAAG
RNAcentral lists this non-coding RNA (84 nucleotides) under Chromera velia. The record is from RNAcentral. Lineage: Eukaryota; Chromeraceae.